Molecule: ribosomal RNA, 1496 nt
Filed under: Lactiplantibacillus pentosus
Lineage: Bacteria; Bacillati; Bacillota; Bacilli; Lactobacillales; Lactobacillaceae
Description: bacterial SSU rRNA
Rfam family: Bacterial small subunit ribosomal RNA
Source: RNAcentral
GGCUCAGGACGAACGCUGGCGGCGUGCCUAAUACAUGCAAGUCGAACGAACUCUGGUAUUGAUUGGUGCUUGCAUCAUGAUUUACAUUUGAGUGAGUGGCGAACUGGUGAGUAACACGUGGGAAACCUGCCCAGAAGCGGGGGAUAACACCUGGAAACAGAUGCUAAUACCGCAUAACAACUUGGACCGCAUGGUCCGAGUUUGAAAGAUGGCUUCGGCUAUCACUUUUGGAUGGUCCCGCGGCGUAUUAGCUAGAUGGUGAGGUAACGGCUCACCAUGGCAAUGAUACGUAGCCGACCUGAGAGGGUAAUCGGCCACAUUGGGACUGAGACACGGCCCAAACUCCUACGGGAGGCAGCAGUAGGGAAUCUUCCACAAUGGACGAAAGUCUGAUGGAGCAACGCCGCGUGAGUGAAGAAGGGUUUCGGCUCGUAAAACUCUGUUGUUAAAGAAGAACAUAUCUGAGAGUAACUGUUCAGGUAUUGACGGUAUUUAACCAGAAAGCCACGGCUAACUACGUGCCAGCAGCCGCGGUAAUACGUAGGUGGCAAGCGUUGUCCGGAUUUAUUGGGCGUAAAGCGAGCGCAGGCGGUUUUUUAAGUCUGAUGUGAAAGCCUUCGGCUCAACCGAAGAAGUGCAUCGGAAACUGGGGAACUUGAGUGCAGAAGAGGACAGUGGAACUCCAUGUGUAGCGGUGAAAUGCGUAGAUAUAUGGAAGAACACCAGUGGCGAAGGCGGCUGUCUGGUCUGUAACUGACGCUGAGGCUCGAAAGUAUGGGUAGCAAACAGGAUUAGAUACCCUGGUAGUCCAUACCGUAAACGAUGAAUGCUAAGUGUUGGAGGGUUUCCGCCCUUCAGUGCUGCAGCUAACGCAUUAAGCAUUCCGCCUGGGGAGUACGGCCGCAAGGCUGAAACUCAAAGGAAUUGACGGGGGCCCGCACAAGCGGUGGAGCAUGUGGUUUAAUUCGAAGCUACGCGAAGAACCUUACCAGGUCUUGACAUACUAUGCAAAUCUAAGAGAUUAGACGUUCCCUUCGGGGACAUGGAUACAGGUGGUGCAUGGUUGUCGUCAGCUCGUGUCGUGAGAUGUUGGGUUAAGUCCCGCAACGAGCGCAACCCUUAUUAUCAGUUGCCAGCAUUAAGUUGGGCACUCUGGUGAGACUGCCGGUGACAAACCGGAGGAAGGUGGGGAUGACGUCAAAUCAUCAUGCCCCUUAUGACCUGGGCUACACACGUGCUACAAUGGAUGGUACAACGAGUUGCGAACUCGCGAGAGUAAGCUAAUCUCUUAAAGCCAUUCUCAGUUCGGAUUGUAGGCUGCAACUCGCCUACAUGAAGUCGGAAUCGCUAGUAAUCGCGGAUCAGCAUGCCGCGGUGAAUACGUUCCCGGGCCUUGUACACACCGCCCGUCACACCAUGAGAGUUUGUAACACCCAAAGUCGGUGGGGUAACCUUUUAGGAACCAGCCGCCUAAGGUGGGACAGAUGAUUAGGGUG